CAUCUCUAAAUAUAAUUUCAUUCUUCUUUUCUACCUCAACUUUCUGUUAUUAUUUAUUAUUGUUUGAAUUAAAUAUAAAGUAUUCUCAUAACUAUCAAUCAUUUCCUCAUAUAAAAUUCAUGAAAAAUGUAGAUUUCACUGAUUUCUACUCUAUUUAAAUUUUUGCAAAAGAUCUAAUAAUCUGAGUUAGUUCUCACAGAAAAAAACUCUUUUCUUCUUUUAUUUUUAUUAUAAAGAAUAACAAUUCAAUAAAUCCCAGGGGAUGAAGACAUCUUUAAUUCCUCCAAAGGGUUAGAAGGCUCAGGCACAACACUGUAUAGCAGGGGCUUCAUGAAACAUGCAACUGGGCCAAGACGGAGCAAAAGUGCGAAGUCAUAUUAUUCAUUAUGUUGCUAUUAAGCAAUAUCAUCGCUAGAUAUCAUUGCUAGAUAUCAUUGCUAGAUAUCCUCGCAAGAUAUCGUUGUUAGAUAUCAUCAUUGAUACCAUCGGUAUAUAUCAUUGCUGGAUCGAUAUAUCAUUGCUAUAUAUCAUCGGUGGAUAUCAUUCCUUCAGCCAGGUCAGUAGAUAGAUAGGCAGUCAGCUAUGUAGUAAGCUAGCAUUGAUAGGUA
This 608-nucleotide small RNA is filed under the name Histoplasma capsulatum var. duboisii H88. RNAcentral describes it as "Histoplasma capsulatum H88 hypothetical RNA". Lineage: Eukaryota; Fungi; Ascomycota; Eurotiomycetes; Onygenales; Ajellomycetaceae. The record is from RNAcentral.